Molecule: ribosomal RNA, 447 nt
Filed under: uncultured bacterium
Lineage: Bacteria
Description: SSU rRNA
Rfam family: Bacterial small subunit ribosomal RNA
Source: RNAcentral
AGAGCGAACGCUGGCGGCAGGCUUAACACAUGCAAGUCGAGCGGGCGUAGCAAUACGUCAGCGGCAGACGGGUGAGUAACGCGUGGGAACAUACCUUUUGGUUCGGAACAACCCAGGGAAACUUGGGCUAAAUACCGGAUAAGCCCUUACGGGGAAAGAUUUAUCGCCGAAAGAUUGGCCCGCGUCUGAUUAGCUAGUUGGUGAGGUAACGGCUCACCAAGGCGACGAUCAGUAGCUGGUCUGAGAGGAUGAUCAGCCACAUUGGGACUGAGACACGGCCCAAACUCCUACGGGAGGCAGCAGUGGGGAAUAUUGGACAAUGGGCGCAAGCCUGAUCCAGCCAUGCCGCGUGAGUGAUGAAGGCCCUAGGGUUGUAAAGCUCUUUGUGCGGGAAGAUAAUGACGGUACCGCAAGAAUAAGCCCGGCUAACUUCGCGCCAGCAGCCGC